Molecule: unclassified non-coding RNA, 1295 nt
Filed under: uncultured Neocallimastigales
Lineage: Eukaryota; Fungi; Neocallimastigomycota; Neocallimastigomycetes; Neocallimastigales
Description: partial contains small subunit ribosomal RNA, internal transcribed spacer 1, 5.8S ribosomal RNA, internal transcribed spacer 2, and large subunit ribosomal RNA
Rfam family: Eukaryotic large subunit ribosomal RNA (bases 592-1295)
Source: RNAcentral
AAUAAUUUUUUAGGUUGGAAUACGAACCUAAAAAUAUAAUAUCCUACCCUUGUGAAUUUGUUGUUUGAAAUAAUUUUUUAAAAAAUUAUUUAUAGUUUUGUCUAUCCCUGAGUUGUAAGAGAAGUAAAUUCUUUGAAAGCUUAGGGAAUAGGCUUUAUCUAUAAAUAUGAUUUUAAAGACCUUUUUUUAAAUUAACUUUUUGUAUCAUUGUCUAAUUUAUUUUUAAUAAUUUAAAAACACUUUUGACAAGGAUCUCUUGUUCUCGCACGAUGAAGAACGCAGCAAAUGCGAUAAGUAAUGUGAUUGCAGAAUACGUGAAUCAUCAAAUCUUCGAACGCAUAUUGCACUUUUUAGUUUACUAAAAAAGUAUGUCUGUUGAGUAUCAGUAAAAUAUUCUCAUAAAAAAUUUAUUUUUUAUGGUUUGAUGUUUUACAACGAUACAAGUUGUUUCACUUUAAAUUGACUUUAAAUUGCCUAUUAAUUUAGUCAAUUUUUAAAAUUGCAUAAAAUUUCCCGUAAAAAGGAAUAAACCUAUAAUUUUAAAAUUAACUGAUAUAAAAGGCCUUGAUAAAGGAAUUUAAUUAAAUAACUUGAUCUCAAAUCAGAAGAGUACCGCUGAACUUAGCAUAUCAACAAGCGGAGGAAGAACUAACAAGGAUUCCUAGUAACGCGAGUGAAGCGGGAAGAGCUCAAUUUGAAAUCUUCAAGGUUUGACCUGAAGAAUUGUAGUUUAAAGAAUGUUUUCGGUUAGAGGAGUGGUAAAAGUUUUUGGAAUAGGACAUCAUAGAGGGUGAGAAUCCGUAUUUGACCAUUCUUUCUAGCUUGUGAUACACUUUCAAAGAGUCGAUUGUUUGGGAAUGCAGUCCAAUGGGUGGUAAAUUUAUCUAAAGCUAAAUAUGGCGAGAGACCGAUAGCGAACAAGUACGUGGGAAAGAUGAAGACUUUGAAAAGAGAGUUAAACAGUACGUGAAAUUGUCAAAAGGAAGCGUUUGACACCAGUGUUGUUUUUCCGAAAUCAAUUAAAAAUGAUUCAUGCAGUUGUAUUGACUUAUCAGCUUGCAUUUGGUUUUGGUUCUUUUUGAUGCACUUUUCGGUUAACAAGUCACAUCAAUUUCCUUUGCUGUAAAAGGCAGAAGGAAGGUGGUUCAAUUCGGUUGAAGUUUAUAGCCUCUGUCUCUGCAGUCGGGAGAUGAGUCUGCAGCGUAGAUCUUCGGUUAGAUACAUGUCGUAGUUAUAGCCUUUAUAGACAAUUGUUGAUAUGAUGGUCAUGUAAUUAUCGCGAGUGCUAUUUUACC